AAAGUAUACAAUAACCUUUCCGUUGGAGGAAGAGAAACCGAAGACCAGGGUAGGUUUCCAAGAUGCUUUCAGUUUCGUCACCAAGAUUAAGGCAAGGUUCUCAAGUGAUGAACAUGCGUAUAAAAGGUUUCUAGACAUCAUGGAGAUGUAUCGAAAGGAAAGAAAGUCCAUCAUUGAUGUCUACGAAGAGGUUACUAUUCUCUUCAAGGGUCAUGAUGAUCUGCUCGUGGAGUUCCUUAAUUUCUUACCUAAUUGUGCUGCAAUUUCUGACAUGCUUCCAAGGCAUUCUGAUAAGGUCGAAAACUGUGAUGAAAAGCUGGUUGUUUU
Brassica napus (rape) is the source of this 327-nucleotide long non-coding RNA. RefSeq lists it as uncharacterized. The transcript is spliced from 4 exons. The record is from RefSeq and is a predicted model, not a curated record. Lineage: Eukaryota; Viridiplantae; Streptophyta; Magnoliopsida; Brassicales; Brassicaceae.